CCUACGGGUGGCAGCAGUGAGGAAUAUUGGUCAAUGGACGAGAGUCUGAACCAGCCAAGUAGCGUGAAGGAUGACUGCCCUAUGGGUUGUAAACUUCUUUUAUAUGGGAAUAAAAUGUUCCACGUGUGGGAUUUUGUAUGUACCAUAUGAAUAAGGAUCGGCUAACUCCGUGCCAGCAGCCGCGGUAAUACGGAGGAUCCGAGCGUUAUCCGGAUUUAUUGGGUUUAAAGGGAGCGUAGGUGGAUUGUUAAGUCAGUUGUGAAAGUUUGCGGCUCAACCGUAAAAUUGCAGUUGAAACUGGCAGUCUUGAGUACAGUAGAGGUGGGCGGAAUUCGUGGUGUAGCGGUGAAAUGCUUAGAUAUCACGAAGAACUCCGAUCGCGAAGGCAGUUCACUGGACUGCAACUGACACUGAGGCUCGAAAGUGUGGGUAUCAAACAGGAUUAGAUACCCUUGUAGUC
Molecule: ribosomal RNA, 460 nt
Filed under: uncultured bacterium
Lineage: Bacteria
Description: partial 16S ribosomal RNA
Rfam family: Bacterial small subunit ribosomal RNA
Source: RNAcentral